UGGGGAAUAUUGCACAAUGGGGGAAACCCUGAUGCAGCGACGCCGCGUGAGCGAAGAAGGUUUUCGAAUCGUAAAGCUCUGUCCUAUGAGAAGAUAAUGACGGUAUCAUAGGAGGAAGCCCCGGCUAAAUACGUGCCAGCAGCCGCGGUAAUACGUAUGGGGCGAGCGUUGUCCGGAAUUAUUGGGCGUAAAGGGUACGUAGGCGGUCUAUUAAGUCAGGUGUGAAAGCGUGAGGCUUAACCUCAUUAAGCACUUGAAACUGAUAGACUUGAGUGAAGGAGAGGAAAGUGGAGUUCCUAGUGUAGCGGUGAAAUGCGUAGAUAUUAGGAGGAAUACCGGUGGCGAAGGCGACUUUCUGGACUUUUACUGACGCUCAGGUACGAAAGCGUGGGGAGCAAACAGG
Molecule: ribosomal RNA, 403 nt
Filed under: Verrucomicrobiota bacterium
Lineage: Bacteria; Pseudomonadati; Verrucomicrobiota
Description: Verrucomicrobia bacterium partial 16S ribosomal RNA
Rfam family: Bacterial small subunit ribosomal RNA
Source: RNAcentral